GACGAACGCUGGCGGCGUGCUUAACACAUGCAAGUCGAACGAAGAGCGAUGGAAGCUUGCUUCUAUCAAUCUUAGUGGCGAGCGGGUGAGUAACGCGUAAUCAACCUGCCCUUCAGAGGGGGACAACAGUUGGAAACGACUGCUAAUACCGCAUACGAUCUAAACUCGGCAUCGAGGAUAGAUGAAAGGUGGUCUCUACAUGUAAGCUAUCACUGAAGGAGGGGAUUGCGCCUGAUUAGCUAGUUGGAGGGGUAACGGCCCACCAAGGCGAUGAUCAGUAGCCGGUCUGAUGGGAUGAACAGCCACAAUGGGACUGGGACACGGCCCAGACUCCUACAGGAGGCAGCAGUGGGGAAUCUUCCGCAAUGGACGAAAGUCUGACGGAGCAACGCCACGUGAGUGAUGACGGCCUUCGGGUUGUAAAGCUCUGUUAAUCGGGACGAAAGGCCUUCUUGCGAAUAGUGAGAAGGAUUGACGGUACCGGAAUAGAAAGCCACGGCUAACUACGUG
Molecule: ribosomal RNA, 510 nt
Filed under: uncultured bacterium
Lineage: Bacteria
Description: partial 16S ribosomal RNA
Rfam family: Bacterial small subunit ribosomal RNA
Source: RNAcentral